CCUACGGGAGACAGCAGUGGGGAAUAUUGGGCAAUGGGCGCAAGCCUGACCCAGCAACGCCGCGUGAAGGAAGAAGGCUUUCGGGUUGUAAACUUCUUUUCUCAGGGACGAAGAAAGUGACGGUACCGGAGGAAUAAGCCACGGCUAACUACGUGCCAGCAGCCGCGGUAAUACGUAGGUGGCAAGCGUUAUCCGGAUUUAUUGGGUGUAAAGGGCGUGUAGGCGGGAGCGCAAGUCAGAUGUGAAAACUCAGGGCUCAACCCUGAGCCUGCAUUUGAAACUGUGUUUCUUGAGUGCUGGGGAGGCAAUCGGAAUUCCGUGUGUAGCGGUGAAAUGCGUAGAUAUCCGGAGGAACACCAGUGGCGAAGGCGGAUUGCUGGACAGUAACUGACGCUGAGGCGCGAAAGCGUGGGGAGCAAACAGGAUUAGAUACCCUAGUAGUC
RNAcentral lists this ribosomal RNA (443 nucleotides) under uncultured bacterium. RNAcentral's name for it is "partial 16S ribosomal RNA". It matches the Rfam family "Bacterial small subunit ribosomal RNA", at positions 338 to 795 of the family's 1533-position model. The record is from RNAcentral.